This 73-nucleotide transfer RNA is filed under the name Camelus bactrianus (Bactrian camel). It matches the Rfam family "tRNA". Rfam says of the family: Transfer RNA (tRNA) molecules are approximately 80 nucleotides in length. Their secondary structure includes four short double-helical elements and three loops (D, anti-codon, and T loops). RNAcentral also lists the same sequence under 3 other names. The record is from Rfam by way of RNAcentral. Lineage: Eukaryota; Metazoa; Chordata; Mammalia; Artiodactyla; Camelidae.
GAGGGUAUAGCUCAAGUGGUAGAGUGUAUGCUUAGCAUGCGUGAGGUCCUGGGUUCAAUUCCCAGUACCUCCA